RNA transcript from Alligator sinensis (Chinese alligator), 5481 nucleotides. It is a transcript of the gene named G protein subunit beta 1 like, with no coding region annotated. The record is from RefSeq and is a predicted model, not a curated record. The transcript has 10 exons. Lineage: Eukaryota; Metazoa; Chordata; Crocodylia; Alligatoridae.
GCAUUUGGAGAGAGACUACAACUGAAAGCUUUUUGGGUUUUGAAGAAGAUGCAGAACGCAAAUGAAAUGGAAACCCCUAUAAGAAACUUGAAAGAAUAAAGUAACUUGCUGCAACAGAGGCCUUAGAAAAAGUGAUUUCUACACAAGUCAAGUUAUUUCUGGAUGAUUGCUGCUAUGGCUCUUCCGCCUCCUGAUCCAGAGUUUGUAUUGCGAGGAACUGCAGCUCCAGUCCACACUCUACACUUUUCCUGCAGAGGCCAAGAACCUGAGUUUCCUAUUCUCUUCUCUGGGUCUGCCAAUGGUCUGGUCCAGAUCUGGAACCUGAAAACACAUAGGGUGGACAAGACAAUGGAUGGUCAUGGAGGAAAAUCUGUAUACUGGGUGGAGACGAUACAUGGCAGAGAUGGGCUCCUCAGCCAGGGUCGUGAUCAGAAGAUCUGCCUCUGGGAUUUGGCAGAAGGAAGGAACGUGGUGACAGAUUCCAUUUCCGUGGAUAGUGUGGGAUUCUGCAGAUGCUCGCUGCUGAAGGUGGCUCAGGACCGUUGGCUAAUAGCCAUGCCAGCAAAUGACCCAGAUGAGGUUCAGGUUUUGGAGCUUCCAUCCAAGACAUCAGUCUGUACCUUGAAGCCAGAGGCAGGUGCCAAACUGGGCAUGCCCAUGUGUCUGAAGCUAUGGCAGCCUGGCUUUGGGGCAUGUCCUUUCCUUAUGGCUGGCUAUGAGGAUGGAUCCGUGAUCCUAUGGAAUUUAUCAAUGGGAAAAAUGUUGAGUCGGCUUGCUUGCCACCAGGAGCCAGUGAUGAGCCUUGACUUUGACUCGGAGAAGGCCAAGGGGGUCUCGGGUUCAUCUGAGAAGGUGCUUAGCGUCUGGAGCCUCGAUGAACAGCAGAACUUAAAGGUUCACAAAACACAUGAACUCAUCAAUUCUGGGAUCUCUGAUGUUACCAUCCGUCAGGACAGGAAGAUACUGGCAACGGCAGGGUGGGAUUAUCACAUCAGGAUCUUUGGCUGGAAGAAAGUGAAACCAUUGGCAGUGCUGGACUACCAUACUGCAACCGUCCACUGUGUGGCCUUCUCAGAUCACAGCAGGCCUAGUGAAAGACUUCUGGCAGCUGGCUCCAACGACCAGCGCAUUAGUAUCUGGUCACUGUACAAUCAAACAUGAGAGGUGCUUGCUUAUCCUGUGGACUGAAAAAAACAGAUUAAAACAGUUCCUGGAAUAUGAUGAAAAACUGGAGCUAAAAUCUGCUGGGGGUGGGGGGUAGGCAUGGGGUUCAAGGUGCCAGAAGAUGAAUUCUUCUACUGCUUGUUUGCUAUGGAAAAUUAAAUUGGAGAGGAGAGUUAAUGUCAAAAAGGGAAAAAAGGAUCACCCUGUAGUUUUGACAUGGGAAUCGUGGCAGUCUAGGGCUCUGCUAUGGGCCGUGCCACGGAGCUCCGCUGGUACGUUCUUUGUCAGCUGCCCCAUCCGCACAAUGGAUACUGCACCUAUCUUGCAGGAAUGCUGUGGGGCUAGAAUGGAUCCAUUUAUACAUCUUAUGUGCAUCCAGGAGUCUCAGAUUUCAGCUGACUCAUUUGCUCUCACAGAGCGAAGAACCACCUUAAGCUGGUAAAGUCAGACCUGGAAUCUCACCUGUUGGAGAGGAACAGGGCGAGCCUGUACCUGGCCUAAAGGAUUCAGGAGUGAAGCAUCUUCUAGCUGAGGAUCUCAAGACACCAAGUAACUUCACGAAGACUCGGACUGCCAUGUGAGGUCCUGUAAGGGUAGGAUAAGAGUAGCCUUUUGAUCACCAGGAAACUGAAGCGCGCAGGAGCUGAGCGACUUCAUAAAUGCCUCACAGCAAAUCAUCAGCAAAGCUCAGACUAAGAGAUUUCUUGUUCCCUGCCCUAACCGUGAGAUCACACCUCUUCUGUAAGGCAAAGCCGGAAGACAGAAAAUCAUUACUAUGGCUGAUCAGACCAAGUUGCCACGAUGGUGUUUGUAUUUCAUUUGCUCCAAAAGUGUUUACAUAAUGUUAUCACAUAAUGGGAUUAGUUGGGCUGAAGCAUUUGCUUCCUGGAGAGGGAGAGGUUGAUGCUGUUGCAGUUUAGUUGCAUUCACCCCGCCUGCUUAAAAAAAAAAUCUUGGAGCCAUUGGACCCAAAGAAGUGACCCCUAUAUAUUUAAUACAUGUCUGAGGAGCUUGGUGCUAACCAUUUAGCUGCUAUUGGGUUCUUUCCCCUCAAUACCAUCCAUCAUGGAACCUUUGGCACUUUAAUGUAUUAUUAAACCACAUAGCUGGGAUUUUCGCAACAUAAUCUCUGAAUUGUGAAUGCUUUGCCCAUAUGAUUAAUAGUGUGAAAUAUAUCUGUGCAUGUGUUACCAGCAUUAUGAUGUGUAAUGCUUUAGUCUGAUUUUGCUCAGAGGAACCAAUGUGCAGAUUAGUAUUAGAGAUCAAAAUGCAUAUGGGGGGUGAUAUAAAAAGCCUAAAAAUGGGCAUAGUUCCCAAAAUAAACUAAUUUUACAAUGUCCGAGGAGGUACCAGAUUCUGAAUGCACUUCUGAUGGAAAGAGGAAGAGUGGGGCGAUAAAGAUGACCAGCAAAAGGGUUUGUUUUGGAAGACAGUAAUGCAUCUGUCCCUGUACACUUACAAACUAAAGCUCUUCAUUGUCAUAGCCACAGGCUCGCUUUAUUUUAAGUUUUGAAACAUAUGAGAAUAUGACACAAAUAGUAAUCUGGGUAAAGGCUUUUAGAAACCAUAUGAAUAUACUGGAUCCUGUCAUCAUGCUAAAUCUCUGCUGGCCUAAGAAACUUCCACAAUUGCUGCAGUGUUGGAAGCAAUGGCCAUUUUGAAUUUCUCAGCAGUGCUAGAGGCAGAAUUCAGACAUCCCUGCCCCUAAACGCACAGGCCAAGCUACUUGCCCUAAAAAAGAGUCUCAAUGACAUAUUGAAGCUAUAACACAUACUUGAGAAGUUCUGGCUCCUCCCAAGAGAAAACAGUGGUAAUAGGCCUCUAUCCAGUCUAUUGCACUGAUAAGCACUGUCAGUCAGUCAGUAAUUAGCAAUGAUGUGCUUUUGUGUUUACAAUCAGGAACACACUUAGACGUUCAAAAUUAGCAGCGUCUUUUUCUCUUAACAGCAGAUGGACACUGUAGGACAGUCUGUUCUGGUAGAGCAUUGACAACUAUUUGUGGCCAGCCUCAGCAGUUGCACAGAUUAGCCCAACAAGCAGAAGUAACCCAUGGGACUGUGAGUUCAGCGUAUUGUAUGCUGAAAAGUUCAAAUCGGGCUCAGUCCUCUGCUCCAUGCUGCUUUUUCUCAUGCAUGCACAGGAAUGAUCCCCAGUCAUUUGUGGCAGCAUCUGCUGUAGGGCUCUGCUGGCAUUGGUAGGAGGUGAGAUUAAGGUGCUGGUUUGACAUGACAAUACUGAACUUGCUAGGGGAUGUGUACAUGGCCUCCCUCAAGAGUAAGCACAAGGAGCGCAAUUCCUGGUGUGCAGUCCCAGCUGGAUUCCCACCUAAGCUGUUUUUAACAUACUGCCUCUUGUGAGCAUUGCCCCUUCAGAUUGCAUUUUAUCUUGGCUUUUUAUGGCAUGCCAAGUCUUUUCCAUGGCAUGCUAUGGCAUCAAGUUGAAUAGAGACGCAACGUCUUUCAAGUUAUCCCUUGAGCCCAUCUGCUUGGAAGCAGCUCCCGACAAGCAGGAAAGGGAAUUGAAUCAAAGCUUCGUCAUGUUGGCUGAAAUAAGAGCUGCGUGAGGCUGGGCUGGAAAAACCAGGCUGCAGGAAAGGCUUCCCCCAGGCCACAUGCUGGAGGCUUACAUGGGAGCAGACCGGGUGGGUGUGUCCUGCCUCUUCCUGACCCCAUCGAAUGCAACAGGAUUUGCUUGCUUGGUUUAACUACCAGCACUGCUGGGGUGUGCGGGGGGAGAGGGGCAGGGAAUGCUGUUACAGCUCUGACCAGUAGCGGGGCAAUAAGCACGGGACAAGCCAGCGCAAGGCAAGAAGGUUUUUCUAUUAUCACCCAGGCUUAGCGUCGCAGCUAAGCCCAUGUAAAGCUCAAUAGUGUAAGCCCCCUCGUACAGGCCUUUCCAUUGAUUGAGCAUGGGGCUUGUUCUAGCUUACCUGGAGAUGGCUGUUCACAGCCAAGCAGGCCGAGGCUGUCAAGGCAGAUGGGAAUGUUCAUUUUGCAGGUGGCUAGAAUAAAGCAGAAGGCUCAAAUCCGCUCUCCUGCCAGGCAAGCUGCAGUCCUGCGUCACAGCUGCCUCCGCUGAGAUGAGGUUUUAGUGAUGAGCAGCCCCCACACAUCCCUCAGCUGGCUGCCGCCCAAAGUAGAAGGGCUUCAGUGCAGUGUUGGGUAGGGACCCAAAACAAGAGCCCUAAACCCCCGAGGAAGCACCCAGACCCAUUAUUCACACAGCAGCUGCAAACUGGCAGGGGAGCCAUGCCAUGCACAGAAAUGAAUCCAUCCCUGAGUCCCACACAGUCCUGCAAGGGGCUGAGCCUGCUGGCCCCAGUUGACAGCAAGUCCAUCCUGUACAUUAAGCACCUGCUGCUGCUGUUGCGUUGGGGCCAGCCUUAGCUCAGCCAGGUCUGGAUCAUUUUCACAGCAAGGGCAACCAAAUAUGGGUGGAGGGUGGGUAGCACUGAACUCAAAUGAGCAGCAGACCCACAGGCUGAUGUGGUCUGGAAGGCAGGCUGGCUGGUGGAGUUGUAUCUCAUGGGUGUGAUGUGAAGCUUAACAUGCGACUUUAAGAUGUACUGAAUGCAAAUCAUUAGGCAAGUUCUACUGCUUUCCACCCCACAGCAUCCAAGCCUGACAGUGCUUCACAUACAAAUCACUCUUCCACAUGCCUGGAAAAGCUGUAGACAGGACCCUGGCAGACUGAGUCCCCCCAAAUGGCAAUUUUCUCGGUUGUGGCCUCACUUCUUUAGUAGUGAGAGGCCACCCUCUCACUAAAUUGCUACAGUUAGUGUCAGUAGGCAUGAGUGAUGUAUUGUAAUUAUUUUAUUGUGGCUGCUCUUUAGAAGGUUUUUUUUUUGUAAUCUGGAAAUGUAUCUAACUUCCCACAUGGAAAGAAAUCAUUUAUCAUACUUUACACAGAGGUAUUUGGCUAACUCUCUUGCACAUCUAUGCAAAGCAUAUUAUAUACACAAGGCUAAAUUUGAUAAAAAGGAUAUAAAUUGUGCUAUAUGAAGUAUAUUACACAACUGUGUGUGCCUAAUUUAUAAACUCUAGCAUCUUUGGCACAUUUAAAAUGGGUCAUUUCUAUUAUUUUAGGAGGAGGAAUAUGGAUUUUAGGCAUAGAUAAUUAUACGUAGCGCUGUGGAAGAAGCUAUCACACAUGUGCAUUAAUUUCAAAGGUGUUGUGUCUGUAGCUUGCGUAUUCCCUGUUGCAAAAACAUUUAAAAAACUGGUUUCUUUUGCCUGUAACAGGACUUUACAUCAGUUAUAUGUGCGUUCCAUUAGAAUAAAGGAGCUGUUCUCAGUAUACUGAUUUAUUUUAUUGCAU